RNAcentral lists this ribosomal RNA (469 nucleotides) under uncultured bacterium. Its description in RNAcentral is "partial 16S ribosomal RNA". It matches the Rfam family "Bacterial small subunit ribosomal RNA", at positions 28 to 507 of the family's 1533-position model. The record is from RNAcentral.
GACGAACGCUGGCGGCGUGCUUAACACAUGCAAGUCGAACGAUGAAGCCUUAGCUUGCUUUGGUGGAUUAGUGGCGAACGGGUGAGUAACACGUGAGCAACGUGCCCAGGACUCUGGAAUAACCGCGGGAAACCGUGGCUAAUACCGGAUAGGUGCCGAGGCCGCAUGGUCUUCGGUUGGAAAGUUUUUGCGGUUCUGGAUCGGCUCACGGCCUAUCAGCUUGUUGGUGGGGUAAUGGCCUACCAAGGCGACGACGGAUAGCCGGCCAGAGAGGGUGACCGGCCACACUGGGACUGAGACACGGCCCAGACUCCUACGGGAGGCAGAAGUGGGGAAUAUUGCACAAUGGGCGCAAGCCUGAUGCAGCAACGCCGCGUGGGGGAUGACGGCCUUCGGGUUGUAAACCUCUUGUAGUAGGGAAGAAGCGAAAGUGACGGUACCUGCAGAAAAAGCACCGGCUAACUACGUG